RNAcentral lists this ribosomal RNA (423 nucleotides) under uncultured bacterium. Its description in RNAcentral is "bacterial SSU rRNA". It matches the Rfam family "Bacterial small subunit ribosomal RNA", at positions 207 to 622 of the family's 1533-position model. The record is from RNAcentral.
AAGACCUUGCGCUUUUGGAGCGGCCGAUGUCUGAUUAGCUUGUUGGUGAGGUAAAAGCUUACCAAGGCUUCGAUCAGUAGCUGGUCUGAGAGGACGGCCAGCCACACUGGGACUGAGACACGGCCCAGACUCCUACGGGAGGCAGCAGUGGGGAAUUUUGGACAAUGGGGGCAACCCUGAUCCAGCCAUGCCGCGUGAGUGAAGAAGGCCUUCGGGUUGUAAAGCUCUUUCAGCCGGAACGAAACGGUUACGGUUAAUACCCGUGACUACUGACGGUACCGGAAGAAGAAGCACCGGCUAACUACGUGCCAGCAGCCGCGGUAAUACGUAGGGUGCAAGCGUUAAUCGGAAUUACUGGGCGUAAAGCGUGCGCAGGUGGUUUUGUAAGUCAGAUGUGAAKUCCCCGGGCUUAACCCGGGAACU